ACACAAUGACUCUGACUCACAUCCUCGACACGAGUCACUGCAGCUUGGUGUCUGCAAUAAUUGAGGACGUUAGAAGACGUGUGUGUGCCAUUUUUGAUUCCUUUUUGACUUCCAAUUCAUCUUUUUUGCCAUUUUAUUUUUGUUUUUUGGCAACAUUGAAAGCCAGCACCUUGGAAAGAAAGUCCGUAAUCACCCACAGGCAUUACAGGAAAAUACCGUCCACCAAGCAACCAAUCAGAGCACACGAUUUUACCAGAAGUAGUUUGGCCACAUCACCUCCUCCAGAUCACAGGCAUCACAUCAUCCCUGUCCAGGCAAUGAGGCUCGCGUAUCAUAUCCCAUCCAGGACUGACCCCAACUCACUGCCUCCACAUCUCCUCAGUGUCUCCUCCACUGCUCACAGAAGAGGCAGAAGGGCAUGAGGUCGGGGGUCGAACACUUUCCAACACCAAGCUGAACAGAGUUCCUCACUCAGGUUGAGAAAUAUGGAGUAAGAGGGUGAACGGACGUUUCCUUCCACCCUCAGGAGGUCGUCUGGCAGUUCUGCAGGAACAUGAUGUCACUGCUCACGUUCUUUUUUACACACUGUACACAGUAACAUCAAAACUCCGUUCACUGAGCAGCAGAGACCUGAUGUUGUUAGACUUUGAAAGUCGUCUCGUGUGAACUGGAUUCUCCACAGCUGCUUUAGUGGAUGUUCUGAGCUCUACACUCUCAGACAAUAAAAUACGUACAUUAUUCAGGGCUCGAAAUUCUUUUUUUUUUCACCAGCCAGCCGGACUAGUUCCCUUCCAAAGUAACUCGCCAAACAGAAAAUCAACUCGCCAAAAUUUGUUCAUGUAUGAAUUUUACUUCUGUCAAAAAUAACACAAAAAAGAGAGUAGUUACCAUUGUUCAUGACUA
Long non-coding RNA from Neoarius graeffei (lesser salmon catfish), 903 nucleotides. RefSeq lists it as uncharacterized. The record is from RefSeq and is a predicted model, not a curated record. Lineage: Eukaryota; Metazoa; Chordata; Actinopteri; Siluriformes; Ariidae. The transcript is spliced from 4 exons.